UCGCCCGCCGCGCGCGGCGGGCCUACGGGAGGCAGCAGUGGGGAAUAUUGCACAAUGGGCGCAAGCCUGAUGCAGCCAUGCCGCGUGUAUGAAGAAGGCCUUCGGGUUGUAAAGUACUUUCAGCGGGGAGGAAGGUGCUGAGGUUAAUAACCUCAGCAAUUGACGUUACCCGCAGAAGAAGCACCGGCUAACUCCGUGCCAGCAGCCGCGGUAAUA
Molecule: ribosomal RNA, 216 nt
Filed under: uncultured bacterium
Lineage: Bacteria
Description: partial 16S ribosomal RNA
Rfam family: Bacterial small subunit ribosomal RNA
Source: RNAcentral